RNAcentral lists this ribosomal RNA (427 nucleotides) under Bacillota bacterium. RNAcentral's name for it is "Firmicutes bacterium partial 16S ribosomal RNA". It matches the Rfam family "Bacterial small subunit ribosomal RNA", at positions 355 to 776 of the family's 1533-position model. Lineage: Bacteria; Bacillati; Bacillota. The record is from RNAcentral.
UCGGGAAUUUUGGGCAAUGGGCGAAAGCCUGACCCAGCAACGCCGCGUGAAGGAUGAAAUCCCUCGGGAUGUAAACUUCGCAAGAACGGGAAGAAUAAGUAGGGGACAAUACCCCCUAUGAUGACGGUACCGUUUGUAAGCUCCGGCUAACUCCGUGCCAGCAGCCGCGGUAAUACGGGGGGAGCAAGCGUUGUUCGGAUUUACUGGGCGUAAAGGGCGCGUAGGCGGCCAGUGCAAGUCAGUUGUGAAAUCUCCGAGCUUAACUCGGAAAGGUCAACUGAUACUGCUCGGCUAGAGUGCGGAAGGGGCAACUGGAAUUCUUGGUGUAGCGGUGAAAUGCGUAGAUAUCAAGAGGAACACCUGCGGCGAAGGCGGGUUGCUGGGCCGACACUGACGCUGAGGCGCGAAAGCUAGGGGAGCGAACGGG